GUGGUUCAGUGGUAGAAUUCUCGCCUUCCAUGUGGGAGACCCAGGCUUGAUUCCUGGC
Molecule: transfer RNA, 58 nt
Filed under: Loxodonta africana (African savanna elephant)
Lineage: Eukaryota; Metazoa; Chordata; Mammalia; Proboscidea; Elephantidae
Rfam family: tRNA
About the family: Transfer RNA (tRNA) molecules are approximately 80 nucleotides in length. Their secondary structure includes four short double-helical elements and three loops (D, anti-codon, and T loops).
Source: Rfam by way of RNAcentral